RNAcentral lists this ribosomal RNA (244 nucleotides) under uncultured bacterium. RNAcentral's name for it is "partial 16S ribosomal RNA". It matches the Rfam family "Bacterial small subunit ribosomal RNA", at positions 88 to 334 of the family's 1533-position model. The record is from RNAcentral.
CUGGCGACCGGCGCACGGGUGAGUAACACGUAUCCAACCUGCCCUUUACUCGGGAUAGCCUUUCGAAAGAAAGAUUAAUACCCGAUGGCAUAAUGAUUCCGCAUGGUUUGAUUAUUAAAGGAUUCCGGUAAAGGAUGGGGAUGCAUUCCAUUAGGUUGUUGGUGAGGUAACGGCUCACCAAGCCUUCGAUGGAUAGGGGUUCUGAGAGGAAGGUCCCCCACAUUGGAACUGAGACACGGUCCAA